UGGGGAAUUUUGGACAAUGGGCGAAAGCCUGAUCCAGCAAUGCCGCGUGUGUGAAGAAGGCCUUCGGGUUGUAAAGCACUUUUGUCCGGAAAGAAAUCCUUGGCUCUAAUACAGUCGGGGGAUGACGGUACCGGAAGAAUAAGCACCGGCUAACUACGUGCCAGCAGCCGCGGUAAUACGUAGGGUGCAAGCGUUAAUCGGAAUUACUGGGCGUAAAGCGUGCGCAGGCGGUUUGCUAAGACCGAUGUGAAAUCCCCGGGCUCAACCUGGGAACUGCAUUGGUGACUGGCAGGCUAGAGUAUGGCAGAGGGGGGUAGAAUUCCACGUGUAGCAGUGAAAUGCGUAGAGAUGUGGAGGAAUACCGAUGGCGAAGGCAGCCCCCUGGGCCAAUACUGACGCUCAUGCACGAAAGCGUGGGGAGCAAACAGGAUUAGAUACCCUGGUAGUCCACGCCCUAAACGAUGUCAACUAGUUGUUGGGGAUUCAUUUCCUUAGUAACGUAGCUAACGCGUGAAGUUGACCGCCUGGGGAGUACGGUCGCAAGAUUAAACUUAAAUGAAUUGACGGGGUCAUAGCUGUUU
Molecule: ribosomal RNA, 581 nt
Filed under: uncultured bacterium
Lineage: Bacteria
Description: partial 16S ribosomal RNA
Rfam family: Bacterial small subunit ribosomal RNA
Source: RNAcentral